GUAGGUGAACCUGCGGAAGGAUCAUUACAGAGUACCUGCCCUUUGGGUAGAUCUCCCACCCUUGCUUAACAUACCUUUGUUGCUUUGGCGGUCCGCUCGGAUUAAUCCGACCACUGGCUCCUGAGCUGGUGUGUGGCCGCCAGAGAACUAUCAACCCUACAUACCUGUAUCGUCUGAGUAAUAUAUAAUAGUUAAAACUUUCAACAACGGAUCUCUUGGUUCUGGCAUCGAUGAAGAACGCAGCAUCUGA
Molecule: unclassified non-coding RNA, 250 nt
Filed under: plant metagenome
Description: partial contains small subunit ribosomal RNA, internal transcribed spacer 1, and 5.8S ribosomal RNA
Rfam family: 5.8S ribosomal RNA (bases 196-250)
Source: RNAcentral